UACGGAGGAUCCGAGCGUUAUCCGGAUUUAUUGGGUUUAAAGGGUGCGCAGGCGGGAGACUAAGUCGGUGGUGAAAUUUUGCAGCUCAACUGUAACAGUGCCAUUGAUACUGGUUUUCUUGAGUGUGGAUGAAGUAGGCGGAAUUUGUGGUGUAGCGGUGAAAUGCAUAGAUAUCACGAGGAACCCCGAUCGCGUAGGCAGCUUACUAAACCAUAACUGACGCUCAUGCACGAAGGCGUGGGGAUCAAACAGGAUUAGAUA
RNAcentral lists this ribosomal RNA (261 nucleotides) under uncultured prokaryote. Its description in RNAcentral is "partial 16S ribosomal RNA". It matches the Rfam family "Bacterial small subunit ribosomal RNA", at positions 524 to 784 of the family's 1533-position model. The record is from RNAcentral.